Molecule: long non-coding RNA, 219 nt
Filed under: Physcomitrium patens
Lineage: Eukaryota; Viridiplantae; Streptophyta; Bryopsida; Funariales; Funariaceae
Description: long non-coding RNA (PPAT_LNC005499)
Source: RNAcentral
UUUGAUACCGCUUUAUACUCACGAUCUUGUAUCCACUGACUGUCUCGUUAGAUUAACCCAAUAAAUUUCAUUCACUCCGCAUACUCAAUCCUAUAGACACCAUUUUAAUUCUUCAUUACAGACGUAACUCGAUUUCACAAAACAAUCAAGAAUAAUCACACCCACUUCAUUAAAAUCCCGAUUCACCAGUACAACACUGACUUCAGCAAUGAUUGCCUC